ACUCCAGUCAUGGUCGAGCCCACAAACGGUCUAUUUGCUGCCCGACGGCAUGUUUGUUCAUUACGGUUCUCGAUCGGUGCUUACCUUGCCCACAAAGAUAAGACAUUUCCGUUCAGCAGGAGACAGAGGCCAAGAAAUAACAUGCAUACUUGAUGUAGUAUUUGUCAGUACAAAGUAGGGAAUUGAUUUGGACAAAGCCCUAAGCCCGACAAUAUGUGGGCCUUGUGAGAUGGAGGAGGAGCCGUUCCUCGACGACGACAAGCUCUGGAUCGUCAAGCUGACCAGGAAGACGCUGCUGGCUUCUCCUUGAAGCAAAUCGACGCAGGAACUCUUGCGGGCUCGAUCGAUCUCCAAGCACAGAGUUCAGUUUUAGGAUUUAUGGACUAUGUUGUCUAGUCUGUUAGGAUUGUGUGAUUAUCGUUGCAAGUUAAUUGCGGGUAAUAUAUAUCCUCGACAUAGAUCUGUGUUGAUUAAUUCCUGUAUGCUUUUGAGACCAUCCUUGCUAGCCCCUGUUUAAUUUGAGGAUUUUUAUGCUCUAAAAUUAA
Long non-coding RNA from Brachypodium distachyon (stiff brome), 545 nucleotides. RefSeq lists it as uncharacterized. The record is from RefSeq and is a predicted model, not a curated record. The transcript is spliced from 2 exons. NCBI's taxonomy places the organism in Eukaryota, Viridiplantae, Streptophyta, Magnoliopsida, Poales, Poaceae.